CUGCAGCCAAUUAAGUCAACCGUGCUCAUUUAUUUCCUCAUGGGGGCCCAGUGUGCAAUGGCUGCAAACAGCAGCCUCCUUGGUAGCGUAUGCAGCCUGUUGCUUAUAUGGGUUGUUCUAAGAGAGACAGUC
Molecule: small nucleolar RNA, 132 nt
Filed under: Propithecus coquereli (Coquerel's sifaka)
Lineage: Eukaryota; Metazoa; Chordata; Mammalia; Primates; Indriidae
Description: Small nucleolar RNA SNORA70 (ENSPCOG00000009956.1)
Rfam family: Small nucleolar RNA SNORA70
About the family: snoRNA U70 seems to be exclusive to mammals and is a member of the H/ACA class of snoRNA which contain H (ANANNA) and ACA box motifs. H/ACA box snoRNAs are involved in the conversion of uridines to pseudouridines (5-ribosyluracil) a constituent of structural RNAs (transfer, ribosomal, small nuclear, and small nucleolar).
Source: Rfam by way of RNAcentral